Molecule: ribosomal RNA, 255 nt
Filed under: uncultured bacterium
Lineage: Bacteria
Description: partial 16S ribosomal RNA
Rfam family: Bacterial small subunit ribosomal RNA
Source: RNAcentral
UACAGAGGGUGCGAGCGUUGUCCGGAAUCACUGGGCGUAAAGGGCGCGUAGGCGGCUUGAUAAGCGUGCGGUGAAAGCCCGGGGCUCAACCCCGGGUCGGCCGUGCGAACUGUCGAGCUGGAGCACUGUAGAGGCAGGUGGAAUUCCGGGUGUAGCGGUGGAAUGCGUAGAGAUCCGGAAGAACACCGGGUGGCGAAGGCGGCCUGCUGGGCAGUGGCUGACGCUGAGGCGCGACGAGCGUGGGGAGGCAACAGG